AUGAGGAUUCUGCAGUUUGCUUUCCGGAGGAUAUGUUCCCUGAUUUCAUCUGAUGCAAACCGCCUUAAGCCGUGUUUGUCUCGUCACUUUUCUACCUUUGAAAAUUUUGAUGCCUAUCCAGUCAGUAAUGCAAUUUGGCAUUCUAGGGAAGUCGACAUGAAGGAUCUUGGAGAUCCUGUCAAUUUCUUUGGCAGGAACCGAAUGUUUGAUUCAAUAUUAUACAACAAGCUUGUAGGCAGACCUAAAAGCAAGGACGGAAGGGAGAUCAAUCCGUAUCUUGCCAAGAUCAUCAAGAUGAACCCAAGAAUGGUGUCUGAAAUAUUUGCUUAUGCACUGAGAUCGUUGGCGGUUAUUACUGUGGAAAACCAUCGGAUGGGGGUUCCUUUAGGUGCUGCUGUGAAGCUAUCUAACCUGAGGAUCUCUUAUUCUCAUGGUAAGUUUGUCUUGCUCAAUAUCCUGCCAAAGUCACCCGGCUACAAGGGUUUGACUCUGCAACAGAGAUGUAAUGAUUGGAUAGCAAUAAGAGAUCUUGUGAAGCAGUUGGUUGAGGAGGUUUGCGGGAGUGGUGUUCAAUAUCCUGUGGAUUUUGCCCACUGGCUUGAGAAGUUGGGUGAGCCUCAGCCACAAAUAUUCAUGAUACUAUACCAUACCGUGUUCCUAAGAUCGAAUGCCCGUUUCUAUUACCAUGUUUCGCUGGAUCAGUUCUGCAGAAAGGAACCAAGGGGCAAGUUCAACAUUAUUAUGAAUGAUUCUGAAUUGCGUGAGUUGCUGAGGGAGAUAGGUGACCUUAGAGAACUGUUAAACCUUGCCGAACUGAAUGAGUUUCUGAAGUGCUGUAUAGCAGGUGACGAUGGAACUCAAGCAGCUGCUUCUAAAUAUCCAAAGGGCGGGCAACCAAGCAAUGGUACAGGCCAGCAGGGUCAAGCACCACCAGCCACAGGCCAGCAGGGUCAAGCACCACCAGCCACAGGCCAGCAGGGUCAAGCACCACCAGCCACAGGCCAGCAGGGUCAAGCACCACCAGCCACAGGCCAGCAAAGUCAGCCAUCUCAAGCCACAGGCCAGCAGGGUCAACCAGCUGCUCGAGGUGGCCAGAGUCAAACGUUCAAUUCAAGUAAUGCUCCACCACAAGGUCAGCCAUCUCAAGCCCAAGGGAACUCAAUCCCACAAGGACAGGCAUUGCAAACUCAGGACCCUUAUGCACUGCUUCAGCAGGCCAGACUCAAAGGUGGGCACACCUUGGUUGCUGUCCACCGCAACAGCCCUGUGCAUGGUUGCCAAAAAACAUGUGUAGGCUUCUCUUUCAUUCAAAGAUCGAUGUUGAAUCGCGGUCAAUUAUUCAGAUCGUCUAUUUCACGUUCCUUCCCUUCGACCAUACAGUUCUUGAGCUCUUCUGCAAGAAAGGGAUUCAGCAUCAAUUGGACAUGGAGUGCUUGUUUGGUGAGACUAGGGACACAUGGAAAUUUGCAAUAG
This 1473-nucleotide ribosomal RNA is filed under the name Triticum aestivum (bread wheat). RNAcentral's name for it is "partial small subunit ribosomal RNA". Lineage: Eukaryota; Viridiplantae; Streptophyta; Magnoliopsida; Poales; Poaceae. The record is from RNAcentral.